AGUGCUAAGCAGGGGUGGGGAGGAAGCAGCUGACCAGGCCCUGCAGUCAAUGACCAGUGAAGCUUGUCAGAGGGCACCCCUGGGUUACCCCUCACUCUCAGAGGCUUAGUAGUUGAGCAAGAGUUACACCCAAGAGUGUUUAAAUCAGGCAUUCUAGGUAGCUGGUCCCAAAGGCAACUGUAUACCAGAACCUCAGGGGCAGCAGAGAAGUUGCUUAAAAACAGUUUCAGGACCAGAGGGUUUCAUUGGUGUCUUCUCAUAAACAUGUAAAGAAGAAUUAACACCAAAUCCUUCUUAUUUGUCCAAAGGAUUCAAAUAAGAGGAAAUAUUUUCUUAACUCAUCCCAGGAGACCAGACUUACCCUGAUAUGGAGGCCCAAAAAAGACACCGCAAGAAAAGCAAACUACAGAUCACUACCUGCUGCAAACACAGAGGCAAAAGUCCUCAACAGGAUACCAGCAAAUCAAACUCGGCAGUGUGGAUUUCCUUUCUCUGUGUCACACAUUAAAAGUGGAGAAUCAUAAUGAUAAUCCCAUUUGGAUUUAUGAACAGUUGAAUAGACUAUUGAAAAGAUGCCUUAAUCAAGAAAUAAAUUCACUACAGAAUUGCAUUCAGGGUGGGACAACUACCUUUACCCAUGGAUUUUCUAUCGCUUCAGGGAAAACUCUUCGAUGUUUGAAUUAAGCACCACAUCUGGAAACAAAAGAAAACGAUUACUUUCACUAAGUGCUAUCUAUGUCUCUAGGACUAUGGACAAAAUUUGCUUACAUUCUGUCAAAAUUCCAUCCACUUUUGAAGAAUUCUACAAUCUGAGCUGAGGGCAGCCAAAUGGCUCUGUUCAUACAGUAUCUGUUGGAGUUGAAGCUCCCAAGAACACUUUACUUUCAUAUUCGGUGCCUCCCACUGGGAUAACAGGAACAGCUGACUGCCUGGCACCUCUGUCUCCAGGCAGCCUCUCUGUGUGGACAGCUCAGGCUUCUUCAUAGCAGGGUGAUCUCAAGGUAGUUGAGUUUUAAAAUGGUGGAUGGCUUCCAGGUGAGAGAAAGAGGAUGUUGCCAGUGCAUUUAAGGUCUGGGCUGAGAAGUACCAAAAACAUCGAUUCCUCUGAGUUCCACUUCCAACCUGUACUCUGUUGGUCAAAGCAGGUUACAGGCCAGGCUGGAGUCAAGGGAGAAGAAAUAGCGUCUACUUCUUGGUGGGAAGACCAGUAUGCACAUAUAGGGAGAGAAGAAUCAGCACUGGCCUUCUUUGGAGUCUCUCUGAGAAGGGGGAAGAUGAAGGAUGACACGGUCUGCUUGUCAGGUAGGAUGGUAUGAAACCCUGCUGCAGAGGUUAGGAAGGAUCUAGAAGACAUGGUAUAGACUCCAGAGCCUUCUAACUCUCCCAUCCCUGAUCACAAGGUCACAAAAGACAACACCUUAACCAUCCAACAACUUCCCAUCCACCAUAUUGAAGAACAGGAAGAGGCCAGAGAGCUAACUGGAGAGCCUGGGAAUGGGUCUUCAUGGCAAUCCCUGGACAGCACUGCAAUUUACUCCACAAGAAAGGCUCCAGGAAGGGCUGGAAAGUUGUAACAAAAUAAAGAAGUUGUAUUAGGUAAAAUUAAAAGAAGUUAGAAUAAUGGCACAUUCAGGGAUGGUGGUUACCUCUCCAGGAGAGAAGGGGAUGUGGAGUCCACAGGGAGCCUCGCCAUUCAGCUAAGCUUUUAUUUCUAAAGUUAGGGGUUGGAUGCAUAGGUGUUGUUGUAUUCUUUGUGCCUUUUUGUGUGUUAAAAAUAGUUCCUAAUGUAACUGUUAAAAGUAGUCAUUUCUGAAUAGAUUUGUGGGUCCCCAAUGCCAAGUUUAGGUCAUGACAUAUUGUAUGGGAGUGGGGACAUAGAGCAAGGCUUGAAAGAGGACUUAGAUUUACUUGUUAGGAGAGUCACCUGGUUGGCUUUGGACAGGACAAGAGCAGAGACAGGGAAACCAGUAAGGGGGCUGCCACAUAUGUCCAGUGGGGGGUGACAGUGGUCUGGCUGCCCUGCUGUGGUUGGGUGGGUUCAGAAGCAAAGUUGGGGGGCUGGGCACUUUCCAAGAUGUGGGGGGUGUGGGCAAGGCUUCUGGUUGAGUGAGGGGAUGGGUGGAGACCCCCAUUCCCCAUGACUGAGGCCAGAGAACCCAGGUGGAGGGUGUGUGCAGGGGGAAGAGUUCAAUGAGGGCAGGUUGACCGAUGUGUCAGGGGUGCAUGAGUGUGAACUCCAGGAACAAGUCUUGCAGACCUUAGCACUAAUGCAAACUGAAGCUGCAGGAGGUGAGGUACCUAAGGGAGAGUGGGUUGGAGAGCACAAAAGAGAACCAAGGACUUCCCGGGGGGCAGCAGCCUCUCAGUCUGAGGAGGGAAGCCCUCAGUUAUUUUUCAGACACCACUCACACUCCACAGAGUCCCUCCCGCCCCAUCUCUGUGGAAGGCAGUCCUCUCUCACAGACCUGACUGAAGUCCCUGCUGGGAGGCAGGAGGCCCAGUCACGCCUAGGCCUCUCCCCUUAAGGUCAGCCCUGAUGAAGGCCCUCUCCCAGUGUGAGCCGUGGUCUCCCAGGUCUGAGCCAGCUUCCCCCGGGAGAAUCCUGUGUUAAGAGACAAGGACAGCCAGAGGGUCGGAGCUGCUGAGGGGCAGUCAGGGACACGUGGGUGCCUUGCUUCCUUGGCCACUGGGUGCUCCCCUCCUGCCUGUAGCGCACCUUUCCAAGGUGACUGUCUUUCCCCUUCGCAUUCUGGUGGCCCUGGCACAGUGCUUUAUGUUUGGAUUUCCAAACUCUGGGCUCAUUGGAAAACUUGCAGCCCCUCACUGGCCCUCUGUUAGCAUUUCUCUCCCCUCAUCCCCUUCCUCUUUGAAGAAGGAAUAUGGUAUUAUUUCCUACGGGGUGGUUUGCUGGCAGUAACAGGAAGAUACAGAAGCUGGUCAGAGCAGUGUUGGUGGGUGGUGAGCUUGGAGGAGGAAGUGUACUGAAAAGGGAUUCUACCCUGGAUGGCCCCUUCUCUUUGGUCCCUUCCCUUGCUGUUGUAAUAAAUUUGUGUACCACCUGGGCACCCUCCCUUCUACCCUGAUGCUGUCUCCUUGAACCAGAGAUCUUUUUGUUUCUUAAAACUUGAGUUCUGAAUUAAAAUUUAGAUUCUGCCUUGGACAGAUACUUCUCUGAGCUCUCAGGAAAAAGUUUUCUGCCCUUCACUGGAAUUAAGGGAAUUUUGGGGAAAAACCAAAGCAAUAAUGUUGUAUUUCAGAAAUAUGAAUCUUUCAAAGCAUUUCUCCAAAAAAGCAGAUUUCAAUUAUGAUAGGAAAAUGGGUCGGUGGGGAUAUUACAGGGGUUUGGUUUGCCUAAAAACAACUCUGUAGACAAGAGGAAUAUAGCUAUGCAAUAAGAUAAGAAAGGAAAAUUCUCAUAGAGAAAACAUUUUAAUGAAUCACUCCAAACCGUCGUAGCAUCUACUCUAAGAUCUCAAAAUUGCUUCCAGGGUGAUUCACUUAUCAUACUUUGGAACUCAGCAGCAUAAACAGUGGCCUUCUGGUAUAAAAUACAUGCCAAGGCGAGCAGGCGCACACAGACAGGCACUACGCAUGCGCUCCGUCUCUCCACCAAUCGCGGGGCUUCCGCAGCCGGGGACCUCACAAGGCCAGAAGUACCUUCCUGUGCCCCUUCCCCGGCUGUGAGCGCAAGCCAUCCGAGGACAUCCGAGGACAUCCGAGCCAUCGAGGCAGCAGGCCUGCCCUGCCCUUUCCCGGGCUCCUCUGGCACCCUGCCCACCGCUCCUGUUUCUGGUUUCCUUCGCUUGAGCAUCUGAUGGGACUUGAUGCAUCCUCUGGCUCGAGGCUUGUUCUGGGUGGCAGCCCAGCUUCAGCCUGUCCAUGUCUGAGCCGGGGCAGCCCGGGAAGACUGGGGAAGGGUUUCGUACUGAAGUCCAGGAGCCAAGUUCCCCAGGACAUGUAUUUGAAUGAUAUUUGGGGUCUUCUGGAAAGAAGGGUUAAUUUAGAGAAAAAUUCAGGCAUUGGAGCCAGUGUCCUGCCCCGUGUGCACCCCACUGUCCCUCCCACCCAAGGCCGCCGGUGAUACUUGGGUGAUACUUUGGCUCCAUAGAUACAAAUGGCACCUCCUCUCCCCUGCAGUCAAAUUGAGCCACUUGUAUGAAACGUAGAAGAAAACUGCACACAGGGUUUCUGCAUGUCCCGUUGACUAACACAAGAACCCUUGUUCUGGUAAUGCCACUUGCAGGAGUCUCGCCAGGAAAAGCCUGGGAUAAAAAUAAUGGCAGCCGUCAUGCACGGGUGUUCACCCGAUUCUCACCCCAACCCUCCAGAGCCCUCCUGUCGUCUGUCGUCUGUCCCCGAGGCUGGCCUCGGGGACGGGUCUGGGCCCUCUGGGCCGCGGACCUUGUGUCCUGGGAGGGAGGAAAGUGACCUUGGGGUGAGUGGCACUGCAUGGCAGUGCCAGCCGGGCCUCCCACCUGCCCACGUCCCUCUGGAGCCCUUCCCUCCUCACAGGCCACCCCGUCUCACCUAUCCAUGUUCUCACGCUUUGGCAUUUCCUAGUAUAGCCCUGGAAAUACCCUCCUGCCCCUCUUGUCACAGAGUAUCCAAAAUGCAGCCUGGGGUCCUGCCUGGAACCCCUUACCUGGGGGCUCUUCGGAGGAGUCAGACGUCCUGCUCCACAGGGAGAGAAGGCGCCGGUGUGUAAGAUGUGUAAGAGUCCUAAACUGGGACCUUGUGGUCCGGUCCCAGUGGCACAGCAACCAGCAGUGUUGGAGCCACAGUGGGAUUUCUGAGGAAGGGAGUGACCGGAAGGAUGGUGGCAGAUUGGGCGAGGCAGCUAUCUAUAAUCCGGGAUACUUAAGAGGCUGAGGCAGGAGGGUGGCAAUUUCAAAGCCAGCCUGAGCAAUUUAAGAAAAAUUGGAGUGAGGGUGUGUGUCUGUUGGGGAAGUAGAGUGCUUGUCAUUACACACACAUACACACACACGCGCACACACACGCAGAUGGUGGGAAAAUUUGUUUGGCGGAUGUGGAAUCGCUGAAGAGGGUCCCAUCUGAGAGAUUUGUGGGAGUUACGAGGCGGGGAGCUCCAGCGCUGACCCGGAAUGCCCACCUGGGGUCCUUUCAGAGAGACCCCAGACACUCAGUAUCCUUCCCUGUCCUGUUUUCCUCAGACACAGACUUUAGUCUCGGGGAAAAUAUUCGAAACCUGAACUUUCAGGGCCAGAAUGCGUAGUCGUGUAUGAAGAGGGUCACAUGGAAGCGAUAACUACUGCACAGACUAUUUUAACUGCUGAAUCCGAAAUCUCCGUGCUGCAUUAUGAAAUAUGCAGGAAGGGAAGUAAACAGAUGACAGGAGUGGAAGAAAUCCUAAAGUAAUAUUUUCACAAACAGAUGCUGGCCCACAACACACCUUGGGGGCCAGGGAAGCUCCAGGGAUGCGCACCUCGGAGGGUGGAAGAAUUGGAAUAAAACUGCCAAGCAAGAGCUCGUCCUGGGGAUCCUGGUCAGAGCCCCUGACCGCCCAGCCACGGCCGUUCGCGCAGCCCCGGGUUAGAGAAACCCACAGACAAUCAUUUGAAAUCACUUCUAUCUUCUCUUCCAAAUACAGACAAGU
Molecule: long non-coding RNA, 5614 nt
Organism: Heterocephalus glaber (naked mole-rat)
Lineage: Eukaryota; Metazoa; Chordata; Mammalia; Rodentia; Bathyergidae
Source: RefSeq, a predicted model, not a curated record